RNAcentral lists this ribosomal RNA (353 nucleotides) under uncultured bacterium. RNAcentral describes it as "bacterial SSU rRNA". It matches the Rfam family "Bacterial small subunit ribosomal RNA", at positions 917 to 1271 of the family's 1533-position model. The record is from RNAcentral.
GGGCCCGCACAAGCGGUGGAGUAUGUGGUUUAAUUCGAUGCAACGCGAAGAACCUUACCAGGGUUUGACAUCCUGCGAAUCUCUUGGAAACAGGAGAGUGCCUUCGGGAACGCAGUGACAGGUGGUGCAUGGCUGUCGUCAGCUCGUGUCGUGAGAUGUUGGGUUAAGUCCCGCAACGAGCGCAACCCACGUCUUUAGUUGCCAGCAUUUAGUUGGGCACUCUAGAGAGACUGCCGGUGAUAAACCGGAGGAAGGUGUGGAUGACGUCAAGUCAUCAUGCCCCUUACAUCCUGGGCUACACACGUACUACAAUGGUUAAGACAAAGAGUUGCGAGCUCGUGAGAGUCAGCUAA